AGCAGCCGCGGUAAUUCCAGCUCCAAUAGCGUAUAUUAAAGUUGUUGCAGUUAAAAAGCUCGUAGUUGAAUUUCGGGACCAAUCUGCCGGUCGUGCCUCCGGUACGCACUGGUUUUAUUGGUCUCUCCCUUCUGACGAACCAUGAUGUCAUUAAUUUGGUGUCAUGGGGAAUCAGGACUGUUACUUUGAAAAAAUUAGAGUGUUUAUAGCAGGCUCACGCUUGAAUACAUUAGCAUGGAAUAAUGAAAUAGGACGUUUGACCCUAUUUUGUUGGUUUCUAGGAUCGACGUAAUGAUUAAUAGGGAUAGUUGGGGGCAUUAGUAUUCAAUUGUCAGAGGUGAAAUUCUUGGAUUUAUUGAAGACUAACUACUGCGAAAGCAUUUGCCAAGGAUGUUUUCAUUAAUCAAGAACGAAAGUUAGGGGAUCGAAGACGAUCAGAUACCGUCGUAGUCUUAACCAUAAACUAUGCCGACUAGGGAUCGGAUGAUGUUAAUUUUUUAAUGACUCAUUCGGCGCCUUA
Molecule: ribosomal RNA, 520 nt
Filed under: uncultured Glomus
Lineage: Eukaryota; Fungi; Glomeromycota; Glomeromycetes; Glomerales; Glomeraceae
Description: SSU rRNA
Rfam family: Eukaryotic small subunit ribosomal RNA
Source: RNAcentral